GGGCGGAUAGCUCAGUUGGUGAGAGUGCCUGCCUUACAAGCAGGAAGUCGCCAGUUCAAGUCUGGCUCCGCCCACCA
This 77-nucleotide transfer RNA is filed under the name Candidatus Cloacimonadota bacterium. RNAcentral describes it as "Candidatus Cloacimonetes bacterium tRNA-Val". It matches the Rfam family "tRNA". From Rfam's summary of the family: Transfer RNA (tRNA) molecules are approximately 80 nucleotides in length. Their secondary structure includes four short double-helical elements and three loops (D, anti-codon, and T loops). Further hydrogen bonds mediate the characteristic L-shaped molecular structure. tRNAs have two regions of fundamental functional importance: the anti-codon, which is responsible for specific mRNA codon recognition, and the 3' end, to which the tRNAs corresponding amino acid is attached (by aminoacyl-tRNA synthetases). tRNAs cope with the degeneracy of the genetic code in two manners: having more than one tRNA (with a specific anti-codon) for a particular amino acid; and 'wobble' base-pairing, i.e. permitting non-standard base-pairing at the 3rd anti-codon position. The record is from RNAcentral. RNAcentral also lists the same sequence under 1 other name. Lineage: Bacteria; Pseudomonadati; Candidatus Cloacimonadota.